GGUAGCAAGCAUAUUAUAUAUAUUUACAACUUACCAUCACACACAAGGACACUAGGUAGAAAGCAUAUUAUAUAUAUUUACAGCUUACCAUCACACACGAGGGACACUAGGUAGCAAGCAUAUUAUAUAUAUUUACAACUCACCAUCACACACGAGGGACACUAGGUAGCAAGCAUAUUAUAUAUAUUUACAGCUCACCAUCACACACGAGGGACACUAGGUAGCAAGCAUAUUAUAUAUAUUUACAGCUUACCAUCACACACGAGGGACACUAGGUAGCAAGCAUAUUAUAUAUAUUUACAACUUACCAUUACACACGAGGGACACUAAGUAGCAAGCAUAUUAUAUAUAUUUACAACUCACCAUCACACACGAGGGACACUAGGUAGCAAGCAUAUUAUAUAUAUUUACAGCUCACCAUCACACACGAGGGACACUAGGUAGCAAGCAUAUUAUAUAUAUUUACAACUCACCAUCACACACGAGGGACACUAGGUAGCAAGCAUAUUAUAUAUAUUUACAGCUUACCAUCACACACGGGGACACUAGGUAGCAAGCAUAUUAUAUACAUUUACAACUUACCAUUACACACGAGGGACACCAGGUAGCAAGCAUAUUAUAUAUAUUUACAACUCACCAUCACACACGGGGGACACUAGGUAGCAAGCAUAUUAUAUAUAUUUACAACUCACCAUCACACACGAGGGACAAUAGGUAGCAAGCAUAUUAUAUAUAUUUACAACUCACCAUCACACACGGGGGACACUAGGUAGCAAGCAUAUUAUAUAUAUUUACAACUCACCAACACACACGAGGGACAAUAGGUAGCAAGCAUAUUAUAUAUAUUUACAACUCACCAUCACACACGGGGGACACUAGGUAGCAAGCAUAUUAUAUAUAUUUACAACUCACCAUCACACACAAGGGACACUAGGUAGCAAGCAUAUUAUAUAUAUUUACAACUCACCAUCACACACGAGGGACACUAGGUAGCAAGCAUAUUAUAUAUAUUUACAACUUACCAUCACACACGAGGGACACUAGGUAGCAAGCAUAUUAUAUAUAUUUACAACUCACCAUCACACACGGGGGACACUAGGUAGCAAGCAUAUUAUAUAUAUUUACAACUUACCAUCACACACGGGGGACACUAGGUAGCAAGCAUAUUAUAUAUAUUUACAACUCACCAUCACACACGGGGGACACUAGGUAGCAAGCAUAUUAUAUAUAUUUACAACUCACCAUCACACACGAGGGACACUAGGUAGCAAGCAUAUUAUAUAUAUUUACAGCUUACCAUCACACACGGGGGGACACUAGGUAGCAAGCAUAUUAUAUAUAUUUACAACUCACCAUCACACACGGGGGACACUAGGUAGCAAGCAUAUUAUAUAUAUUUACAACUUACCAUCACACACGGGGACACUAGGUAGCAAGCAUAUUAUAUAUAUUUACAACUUACCAUCACACACGAGGGGAAACUAGGUAGCAAGCAUAUUAUAUAUAUUUACAACUCACCAUCACACACGGGGGACACUAGGUAGCAAGCAUAUUAUAUAUAUUUACAGCUUACCAUCACACACGAGGGACACUAGGUAGCAAGCAUAUUAUAUAUAUUUACAACUCACCAUCACACACGAGGGACACUAGGUAGCAAGCAUAUUAUAUAUAUUUACAACUUACCAUCACACACGGGGACACUAGGUAGCAAGCAUAUUAUAUAUAUUUACAACUCACCAUCACACACGAGGGACACUAGGUAGCAAGCAUAUUAUGUAUAUUUACAGCUUACCAUCACACACGAGGGACACUAGGUAGCAAGCAUAUUAUAUAUAUUUACAACUUACCAUCACACACGGGGACACUAGGUAGCAAGCAUAUUAUGUAUAUUUACAGCUUACCAUCACACACGAGGGACACUAGGUAGCAAGCAUAUUAUAUAUAUUUACAACUUACCAUCACACACGAGGGACACUAGGUAGCAAGCAUAUUAUAAAUAUUUACAACUCACCAUCACACACGGGGGACACUAGGUAGCAAGCAUAUUAUAUAUAUUUACAACUCACCAUCACACACAAGGGACACUAUGUAGCAAGCAUAUUAUAUAUAUUUACAGCUUACCAUCACACACGGGGGACACUAGGUAACAAGCAUAUUAUAUAUAUUUACAAUUCACCAUCACACACGAGGGACACUAGGUAGCAAGCAUAUUAUAUAUAUUUACAGCAUACCAUCACUAACGAGGUACACUAGGUAGCAAGCAUAUUAUAUAUAUUUACAACUCACCAUCACACACGAGGGACACUAGGUAGCAAGCAUAUUAUAUAUAUUUACAACUCACCAUCACACACGGGGGACACUAGGUAGCAAGCAUAUUAUAUAUAUUUACAACUCACCAUCACACACAAGGGAUACUAGGUAGCAAGCAUAUUAUAUAUAUUUACAGCUUACCAUCACACACGGGGGGACACUAGGUAGCAAGCAUAUUAUAUAUAUUUACAACUCACCAUCACACACGAGGGACACUAGGUAGCAAGCAUAUUAUAUAUAUUUACAGCUCACCAUCACACACGAGGGACACUAGGUAGCAAGCAUAUUAUAUAUAUUUACAGCUUACCAUCACACACGAGGGACACUAGGUAGCAAGCAUAUUAUAUAUAUUUACAACUCACCAUCACACACGAGGGACACUAGGUAACAAGCAUAUUAUAUAUAUUUACAACUUACCAUCGCACACUAGGGACACUAGGUAACAAGCAUAUUAUAUAUAUUUACAACUUACCAUCACACACAAGGGACACUAGGUAGCAAGCAUAUUAUAUAUAUUUACAGCUUACCAUCACACACGGGGGGACACUAGGUAGCAAGCAUAUUAUAUAUAUUUACAACUCACCAUCACACACAAGGGACACUAGGUAGCAAGCAUAUUAUAUAUAUUUACAGCUUACCAUCACACACGAGGGACACUAGGUAGCAAGCAUAUUAUAUAUAUUUACAACUCACCAUCACACACGAGGGGACACUAGGUAGCAAGCAUAUUAUAUAUAUUUACAACUCACCAUCACACACGAGGGACACUAGGUAGCAAGCAUAUUAUAUAUAUUUACAACUCACCAUCACACACGGGGGACACUAGGUAGCAAGCAUAUUAUAUAUAUUUACAACUCACCAUCACACACGGGGGA
Bombina bombina (fire-bellied toad) is the source of this 3185-nucleotide long non-coding RNA. RefSeq lists it as uncharacterized. The record is from RefSeq and is a predicted model, not a curated record. The transcript has 5 exons. NCBI's taxonomy places the organism in Eukaryota, Metazoa, Chordata, Amphibia, Anura, Bombinatoridae.